RNAcentral lists this ribosomal RNA (497 nucleotides) under uncultured bacterium. RNAcentral describes it as "partial 16S ribosomal RNA". It matches the Rfam family "Bacterial small subunit ribosomal RNA", at positions 28 to 507 of the family's 1533-position model. The record is from RNAcentral.
GAUGAACGCUGGCGGCGUGCCUAAUACAUGCAAGUCGAGCGAACGGACGAGAAGCUUGCUUCUCUGAUGUUAGCGGCGGACGGGUGAGUAACACGUGGAUAACCUACCUAUAAGACUGGGAUAACUUCGGGAAACCGGAGCUAAUACCGGAUAAUAUUUUGAACCGCAUGGUUCAAAAGUGAAAGACGGUCUUGCUGUCACUUAUAGAUGGAUCCGCGCUGCAUUAGCUAGUUGGUAAGGUAACGGCUUACCAAGGCAACGAUGCAUAGCCGACCUGAGAGGGUGAUCGGCCACACUGGAACUGAGACACGGUCCAGACUCCUAAGGGAGGCAGCAGUAGGGAAUCUUCCGCAAUGGGCGAAAGCCUGACGGAGCAACGCCGCGUGAGUGAUGAAGGUCUUCGGAUCGUAAAACUCUGUUAUUAGGGAAGAACAUAUGUGUAAGUAACUGUGCACAUCUUGACGGUACCUAAUCAGAAAGCCUCGGCUAACUACGUG